RNAcentral lists this long non-coding RNA (447 nucleotides) under Carica papaya (papaya). Its description in RNAcentral is "long non-coding RNA (CPAP_LNC007181)". Lineage: Eukaryota; Viridiplantae; Streptophyta; Magnoliopsida; Brassicales; Caricaceae. The record is from RNAcentral.
UGGAAGAUGAUGGAAUUAGCUACAGAAAUAUCAAUGAUUCGUUAAAAAUAAUUGGGGGUGAUUGUUGUUAAUAUUGAUUAGUUGUAAAAAAAAAUGUGUAGAAUCAAAAGGGUUAAGAAGUUUGAGAGGUAAAAAGAAAACGAUAACCAAAAAGGAGUAGUGAUUAGAGAGAGAGAGAGAGAGAGAGAGAGUAUGCAUAUGUAUAUAUACCUGAAGGUGAGGAGAAGGGGAGAUUCCAAGAGGGCUUAUUGAGAGGUAAGUUAGAAGGGGGAGGAGGAGGAGGAUGAGCAGAGGAAGAAGAAGAAGAAGAGAGAAGAUUAAGGUGGAGAGGACGAGAGAAGCUCAAGGAGAGACUCAAACCCAGAUCUUCCUUGUCAACCAUCAUUUCUGCAACUGGGUUUAAGCUUGUAUAGUGUAUGAUUAUUAUAAGAAAGAGAGAAGGAAUUG